GCUAGGUGUGGUGGUGCAUGUCUGUAAUCCCAGUUACUCGGGAGGCUGAGGCAGGAGAAUUGCAAGUUCAAGGCCAGCCUCUGCAGCUUAGGGAAACCCUAAGCAAGUUAGCAAGACCCUGUUUCAA
RNAcentral lists this small RNA (127 nucleotides) under Marmota monax (woodchuck). Lineage: Eukaryota; Metazoa; Chordata; Mammalia; Rodentia; Sciuridae. The record is from RNAcentral.